GCCCUGCGCUCAGUAAUGUGAAUUGCAGAAUUCAGUGAAUCAUCGAAUCUUUGAACGCACCUUGCGCUCCUUGGUAUUCCUUGGAGCAUGCCUGUUUGAGUAUCAUGAAAUCUUCAAAGUAAAUCUUUUGUUAACUCAAUUGGUUUCUACUUUGGUAUUGGAGGUCUUUGCAGCUUCACACCUGCUCCUCUUUGUUCAUUAGCUGGAUCUCAGUGUUAUGCUUGGUUCCACUCGGCGUGAUAAGUUAUCUAUCGCUGAGGACACUGUAAAAGGUGGCCAAGGUAAAUGCAGAUGAACCGCUUCUAAUAGUCCAUUGACUUGGACAAUACUUUUAUGAUCUGAUCUCAAAUCAGGUAGGACUACCCGCUGAACUUAAGC
This 378-nucleotide unclassified non-coding RNA is filed under the name plant metagenome. Its description in RNAcentral is "partial contains 5.8S ribosomal RNA, internal transcribed spacer 2, and large subunit ribosomal RNA". The stretch from base 1 to 105 matches the Rfam family "5.8S ribosomal RNA", at positions 50 to 154 of the family's 154-position model. The record is from RNAcentral.